This 73-nucleotide transfer RNA is filed under the name Bacteroidota bacterium. RNAcentral's name for it is "Bacteroidetes bacterium tRNA-Lys". It matches the Rfam family "tRNA". Rfam says of the family: Transfer RNA (tRNA) molecules are approximately 80 nucleotides in length. Their secondary structure includes four short double-helical elements and three loops (D, anti-codon, and T loops). Further hydrogen bonds mediate the characteristic L-shaped molecular structure. tRNAs have two regions of fundamental functional importance: the anti-codon, which is responsible for specific mRNA codon recognition, and the 3' end, to which the tRNAs corresponding amino acid is attached (by aminoacyl-tRNA synthetases). tRNAs cope with the degeneracy of the genetic code in two manners: having more than one tRNA (with a specific anti-codon) for a particular amino acid; and 'wobble' base-pairing, i.e. permitting non-standard base-pairing at the 3rd anti-codon position. The record is from RNAcentral. RNAcentral also lists the same sequence under 1 other name. Lineage: Bacteria; Pseudomonadati; Bacteroidota.
GGCUCCGUAGCUCAAUUGGCAGAGCAGCUGACUCUUAAUCAGCGGGUUGUAGGUUCGAUUCCUACCGGAGUCA